AGUUUUAUCCUAAAAUUGUUAGAAAACGAAAGCCAUAUGUCUAAACAAGUUGUGUUCCUAAUCCAAAGUUGAUAGUGCAAAAAUUGAAACGCUAAAAUAUAUCAAUGAUUUUCGGGCCAUCACUGAAGUCCAAUGUGUGAAGACCUGCUAACUGAAGCAACCAGUUGAUCGGCAUGUGGUCUAACCGAUUCAUGUCAAAAUGGGCAAAAUGAACCUCUGGACCUGUGAAAUAAAACAAUAAAUAUUAAUAUUAAGAUAUGGUGAAGAAGAUAUAGAAAUGACAGCAUUUAUUUAGAAAACUCAUCACCUGGGCCUACAAUAAGGGCUCCACCUUGCUGCAGCGGAUCUCCUUGAAAGUCAAAAGCGGGGCUGGUCAUGGCGCGCCACAUACUUCUCAGACUGCCAAUCAGUGGACUGGACUUCACAUGUGGACUGUUGGAAGCUACAAAUGCAGAUGAAGAUAGCUUGGUUUCCAUUCAAAUUUGCUAAUUUAACCUAUG
Non-coding RNA from Pimephales promelas (fathead minnow), 500 nucleotides. The record is from RefSeq and is a predicted model, not a curated record. Lineage: Eukaryota; Metazoa; Chordata; Actinopteri; Cypriniformes; Leuciscidae.